AAUUCAUAGUGAGAGCGAUUGCGAUCGCGAUUUAAGCCGCGAUUUCGCAGCGACUGAUCAGCUGGAUCGAUCGCAGCGAUUUACAUUCAUAGUGCUAAGCGAUUAUAUUAAUUCACAAAAUGAGAGCCGCCAUAUUAUUUCUCUUAUACAAAAUAAUAUUGAAGAGGAGGAGAUUAAACAAUCUUAAUAUUAAUUAAAGAAAAGAGGGCGAAUUUUACAUUCUCUUUCCUAAACUCUUAAAAAAUAAGGUUAAAUUUUUCAAUUAUAUGAGGAUGACCAAAGAAACCUUUUAUUACAUACUUGAGCAUGUAAAACCAAUAUUGCUUACAACAUCCACAAAUUUUAUAAAAUAUCCAAUAAGUAUUGAAGAAAAGCUAAUGGUUUGUUUAAGAUAUUUAGCUACAGGCUGUAGAUAUCCUACCUUAGCUUAUUCCUUCAAAAUGGGAAUAUCUACAAUCCAAAAAAUUGUUAGGACCACUUGCAAAGCUAUAUGACAAACUUUGGUGACCCAACAUAUGAUUACAGCUAACAGAAAAUUUAAUAUAAACAUGUACUUUACUCCAUAACAUUAUAAUUGAUAAGGAAAAAUAUAUUCCUAUCAACCUUAAAAA
Long non-coding RNA from Gordionus sp. m RMFG-2023, 611 nucleotides. RefSeq lists it as uncharacterized. Lineage: Eukaryota; Metazoa; Nematomorpha; Gordioida; Chordodea; Parachordodidae. The transcript is spliced from 3 exons. The record is from RefSeq and is a predicted model, not a curated record.